Molecule: ribosomal RNA, 492 nt
Filed under: uncultured bacterium
Lineage: Bacteria
Description: partial 16S ribosomal RNA
Rfam family: Bacterial small subunit ribosomal RNA
Source: RNAcentral
AGUGAACGCUGGCGGUAGGCCUAACGCAUGCAAGUCGAACGGCAGCACAGUAAGAGCUUGCUCUUACGGGUGGCGAGUGGCGGACGGGUGAGGAAUACAUCGGAAUCUACUUUUUCGUGGGGGAUAACGUAGGGAAACUUACGCUAAUACCGCAUACGACCUACGGGUGAAAGCAGGGGAUCUUCGGACCUUGCGCGAUUGAAUGAGCCGAUGUCGGAUUAGCUAGUUGGCGGGGUAAAGGCCCACCAAGGCGACGAUCCGUAGCUGGUCCGAGAGGAUGAUCAGCCACACUGGAACUGAGACACGGUCCAGACUCCUACGGGAGGCAGCAGUGGGGAAUAUUGGACAAUGGGCGCAAGCCUGAUCCAGCCAUACCGCGUGGGUGAAGAAGGCCUUCGGGUUGUAGAGCCCUUUUGUUGGGAAAGAAAAGCAGCAGGUUAAUACCCCGCUGUUCUGACGGUACCCAAAGAAUAAGCACCGGCUAACUUCGUG